GUGCUCAUUUCGGCAGCACAGAUACUGAAUUUGAAACAAUACAGAGAUUAGCAAGGCCCCUGAGCAAGGAUGACAGACCGAUUCAUGAAGCAUUCCAUAUUUUU
Molecule: small nuclear RNA, 104 nt
Organism: Vicugna pacos (alpaca)
Lineage: Eukaryota; Metazoa; Chordata; Mammalia; Artiodactyla; Camelidae
Source: Ensembl